AUGUUUUCUAGGAGGUUUAGCACUGCGGUGCCUGCUUCAGAGCAAAUGAACCUUGUUAAGAAACUGCGAGAAAGAACGUGUGCUCCGAUCAAAGAUGUCAAGGCUUCGCUAGUUUGUUGCGACUGGGAUAUUGAGACUGCACAGAAGGAUCUGGGGAAGAGAGGGGUGAUUCUUGCUGCCAAAAAAUCGUCACGGACUGCUGCCGAAGGUUUGCUUGCUAUGGCAGGAGAUGAUAAAAGGGUUGCUAUGGUUGAGCUAAAUUGUGAGACCGACUUCAUGGCAAGAAAUGAUGUUUUCCAGUAUCCAGCUUCAUCCUUGGCAAAGAUGGCUCUGUCAGCUCAGGAUCCCGGGAAAUCAGUUUUCCCUUUUGCUCCUGCAUAUUUGGAGAACAUGAGUAUUAACCUAGAUCAUCCUAAACCCAGUGGUGAAACAACUGUUCGGGAUGCUAUUACGGAAGUUGCUGACAUGGUUAUGGAGAACGUAAGACUCAGAAGAGGUUUCAUGCUGUACACAACUGCACAUGGUCUUGUUUCAUCUUAUCUGCAUAUCUAUCAAGAUUGUCUGAGUCGCGUUGCUGGAUUGGUCACUUUAGAAGCAGAAGAUAGCAGUGCUCCCCUUGACGCUCUCGAGAGAGUUGGGUCGUCUGUCCCAAUGCAUAUUGUUGCAGCAAGUCUUAUCAAAAGAAGUAGAGAACUUGUUUCUGCUGCAGCUGUGGAAAAUGAACGUGAUGGGCUCUGA
RNAcentral lists this ribosomal RNA (738 nucleotides) under Triticum aestivum (bread wheat). Its description in RNAcentral is "partial small subunit ribosomal RNA". Lineage: Eukaryota; Viridiplantae; Streptophyta; Magnoliopsida; Poales; Poaceae. The record is from RNAcentral.